AACGAACGCUGGCGGCAUGCCUAACACAUGCAAGUCGAACGAGAUCCUUCGGGGUCUAGUGGCGCACGGGUGCGUAACGCGGGGGAAUCUGCCCUUAGGUUCGGAAUAACAGUUAGAAAUGACUGCUAAUACCGGAUGAUGACGUAAAGUCCAAAGAUUUAUCGCCGGAGGAUGAGCCCGCGUAGGAUUAGCUAGUUGGUGUGGUAAAGGCGCACCAAGGCGACGAUCCGUAGCUGGUCUGAGAGGAUGAUCAGCCACACUGGGACUGAGACACGGCCCAGACUCCUACGGGAUGCAGCAGUGGGGAAUAUUGGACUAUCGGCGCAAUCCUGAUCCAGCAAUGCCGCGUGAGUGAUGAAGGCCUUAGGGUUGUAAAGCUCUUUUACCCGAGAUGAUAAUGACAGUAUCGGGAGAAUAAGCCCCGGCUAACUCCGUG
Molecule: ribosomal RNA, 436 nt
Filed under: uncultured bacterium
Lineage: Bacteria
Description: partial 16S ribosomal RNA
Rfam family: Bacterial small subunit ribosomal RNA
Source: RNAcentral